GACGAACGCUGGCGGCGUGCUUAACACAUGCAAGUCGAACGAGAAGAGAUGAGAAGCUUGCUUCUUAUCAAUUCGAGUGGCAAACGGGUGAGUAACGCGUAAGCAACCUGCCCUUCAGAUGGGGACAACAGCUGGAAACGGCUGCUAAUACCGAAUACGUUCUUUUGUCGCAUGGCAGAGGGAAGAAAGGGGAGGCUCUUCGGAGCUUUCGCUGAAGGAGGGGCUUGCGUCUGAUUAGCUAGUUGGAGGGGUAACGGCCCGACCAAGGCGACGAUCAGUAGCCGGUCUGAGAGGAUGAACGGCCACAUUGGGACUGAGACACGGCCCAGACUCCUACGGGAGGCAGCAGUGGGGGAUAUUGCACAAUGGGGGAAACCCUGAUGCAGCGACGCCGCGUGGAGGAAGAAGGUUUUCGGGUGUAAACUUCUUUUACCAGGGACGAAGGACGUGACGGUACCUGGAGAAAAAAGGCCAA
Molecule: ribosomal RNA, 475 nt
Filed under: uncultured bacterium
Lineage: Bacteria
Description: bacterial SSU rRNA
Rfam family: Bacterial small subunit ribosomal RNA
Source: RNAcentral